RNAcentral lists this long non-coding RNA (1410 nucleotides) under Daucus carota (carrot). RNAcentral describes it as "long non-coding RNA (DCAR_LNC004122)". Lineage: Eukaryota; Viridiplantae; Streptophyta; Magnoliopsida; Apiales; Apiaceae. The record is from RNAcentral.
ACCCAAAGUCAAUAGCACUAAUUAAACUUAAAUUACAAAAACUUAAAUGUGGGAAUUAAUCAAUGUACAUUAAGAUUAAAAUGUAUCACAACCCAUAAUUCUUCUUGUGAAAUUACAUGUCAACACUAAAAAUUAUGAAAUCAGUGCAGUAAUAAGCCAGCUGCCUCGAAGUCUUCGCUCUCGUGUCCUUAGCACUAAAAAGCGUGUAGUUUUUCAAGUUCUUGAAAAUGGUACGUUUACAAGUUCUUUGCAUAGGCUAAACAUACCAUUUUCCAUUUUAAUUACACUUUGAAGCAUUGUAUCCAUCUUCAUUUUCAUGUCUGUAUCGUCCAUGUCCAUGUCUGGGGCAAGAACAGUCAGUUGCCUGUGGAUCUCUAGAAACCUGCAUAUCUUCUCAGCAAACUCAAGGUCACCAUUGGAAACUCGACCUAUUGCCAACCUCAUUAGCUCUCCUGUUAAGUCAACAAGCUAAACCAUGAAAAAACUGAAUUACUUUCAACAUAUAUAAACAAACAGAAGAUGAUAAAUGAAUGAAAAAACUAAAUCAGUAUUCUUGUCUUUAGAUAGUUCCAGAGUAAAAUCUGAUGUAGUAGAUUUUGAUAAUAACACAUUUAUAUUAAAAAUAUUAAUUUUUCCAAAUCAUUGACAUAGACCAUUAUAUCGGAGUAUGUAAUAUGACAUAUUGAGAUGGCAGUGAUGUGUAUAGCGGUCGUUUGUCGAAUGUGGAUGGAAACUAAAUGCGUACAAGACCUAAGAACACACACCUUUUAAAGAUCCCGACUAGCAUAGCUUUUAUCACGAGUUAAAGAUGCAAAUGGUGCCAGCUUUUCUUUGGUGCUAUCAUCAAUAGAACUGCAGUUAACAAAAAUAAACAUAUAACAUUCACAUGGAACAUACACAUACAUUGAAAUCUAAGAUUCAGUCUGUUAUUAUUGCAUUCAACCUCAGACCAUGAGCAGCAAUCACUACUCCUUUCUCAUCUAUGCAUCCAAGAUUUAGUCUUCGAGAAAACAGAGGAUUCAGAUUAGGCGGACUUAUUAAGAGAAAGACUAUGUUUAGAUUAUAACAAAGGAGAACUCUUAUGAUCAUGGCACAUCGAAUGGAUUAAGUGUCCAAACCUGUUAAUUGUCAAAGUAUGGCUUAAGAUAACAAUUUUACUACAUACUUUGUUCAUAUGAUCUGCAUAAGGUUAGUUGAACCUCUUUGAGAUUGUGCAGACACCAGAAACAGGUCAAUAAUAUAUAAUUAAAUUGAAUACAAGUACUAAUGUACUAUAAGUAUUGUGUACCUGCGAAAUUGGUAACAAGUAUCUCAUAUUCUUCGCCAACUUUGACUUCACUAAGCUACCGGCUUGGGCUCUAACCCGACGAAGGUGGCAUCAGAUCCUUCCACAGCAAGAUUAUCAAGAUU